GAUGAACGCUAGCGGGAGGCCUAAUACAUGCAAGUCGAACGGUAAGGUCCCUUCGGGGAUACACGAGUGGCGGACGGGUGCGUAACGCGUACGAAACAUACCUUCAACAGGGAGAUACCUCCGGGGAAACUGGGAAAUAAUACCCCAUAGUAUUGAGAUAUCGCAUGAUAUUUCAAUUAAAGCUUUGGCGGUUGAAGAUUGUCGUGCGUCUGAUUAGCUAGUUGGUGAGGUAACGGCUCACCAAGGCGACGAUCAGUAGCUGGUCUGAGAGGAUGAUCAGCCACACUGGAACUGAGACACGGUCCAGACUCCUACGGGAGGCAGCAGUAGGGAAUAUUGGACAAUGGGC
RNAcentral lists this ribosomal RNA (349 nucleotides) under uncultured bacterium. RNAcentral describes it as "bacterial SSU rRNA". It matches the Rfam family "Bacterial small subunit ribosomal RNA", at positions 28 to 376 of the family's 1533-position model. The record is from RNAcentral.